RNAcentral lists this transfer RNA (69 nucleotides) under Erethizon dorsatum (North American porcupine). RNAcentral's name for it is "tRNA-Val". Lineage: Eukaryota; Metazoa; Chordata; Mammalia; Rodentia; Erethizontidae. The record is from RNAcentral.
AAAGGUGUAGCUUAUUUCAAAGCAUCCGACCUACACUCGGAAGAUUUCACAAUUUACUGACCACUUUGA